UACAGAGGGGGCAAGCGUUGUUCGGAAUUAUUGGGCGUAAAGGGCUCGUAGGCGGUUUGUCGCGUCGGGAGUGAAAACACCGGGCUUAACUCGGUGCUUGCUUUCGAUACGGGCAGACUAGAGGUGAUUCAGGGGAGAACGGAAGUUCCUGGUGUAGCGGUGAAAUGCGCAGAUAUCAGGAGGAACACCGGUGGCGAAGGCGGUUCGUCUGGGAAUAUCCUGACGCUGAGGAGCGAAAGUGUGGGGAGCGAACAGG
RNAcentral lists this ribosomal RNA (256 nucleotides) under uncultured bacterium. Its description in RNAcentral is "partial 16S ribosomal RNA". It matches the Rfam family "Bacterial small subunit ribosomal RNA", at positions 524 to 776 of the family's 1533-position model. The record is from RNAcentral.